AGAAUCAACGCUGGCGGCGUGCCUAACACAUGCAAGUCGAACGAGAAAGUGGAGCAAUCCAUGAGUAAAGUGGCGCACGGGUGAGUAACACGUGACUAACCUACCCUUGAGUGGGGGAUAACCUAGAGAAAUCUGGGCUAAUACCGCAUAAUACCUUCGGGUCAAAGGAGCAAUUCGCUUAAGGAGGGGGUCGCGGCAGAUUAGUUAGUUGGCGGGGUAAUGGCCCACCAAGACGGUGACCUGUA
This 245-nucleotide ribosomal RNA is filed under the name uncultured bacterium. RNAcentral's name for it is "partial small subunit ribosomal RNA". It matches the Rfam family "Bacterial small subunit ribosomal RNA", at positions 26 to 285 of the family's 1533-position model. The record is from RNAcentral.